AUUGAACGCUGGCGGCAUGCUUUACACAUGCAAGUCGAACGGUAACAGGCCGCAAGGUGCUGACGAGUGGCGAACGGGUGAGUAAUGCAUCGGAACGUGCCCAGUCGUGGGGGAUAACGCAGCGAAAGCUGUGCUAAUACCGCAUACGAGCUAUGGAUGAAAGCGGGGGACCGUAAGGCCUCGCGCGAUUGGAGCGGCAGAUGUCUGAUUAGGUAGUUGGUGGGGUAAAGGCUCACCAAGCCAACGAUCUGGAGCUGGUCGGAGAGGACGACCCGGCACACUGGGACUGAGACACUGCCCAGAGACCUACGUGAGGCAGCAGUGGGGAAUUUUGGACAAAGGGCGCAAGCCUGAUCCAGCAAUGCCGCGUGCAGGAAGAAGGCGUUCGUGUUGUAAACUGCUUUUGUACGGAACGAAAAGGUUUGGGUUAAUACCCUGGGCCGAUGACGGUACCGUAAGAAUAAGCACCGGCUAACUACGUGCCAGCCGCCGCCGUAA
RNAcentral lists this ribosomal RNA (498 nucleotides) under uncultured bacterium. RNAcentral describes it as "partial 16S ribosomal RNA". It matches the Rfam family "Bacterial small subunit ribosomal RNA", at positions 29 to 523 of the family's 1533-position model. The record is from RNAcentral.